CCUACGGGUGGCAGCAGUGAGGAAUAUUGGUCAAUGGACGAGAGUCUGAACCAGCCAAGUAGCGUGAAGGAUGACUGCCCUAUGGGUUGUAAACUUCUUUUAUAUGGGAAUAAAAUGUUCCACGUGUGGGAUUUUGUAUGUACCAUAUGAAUAAGGAUCGGCUAACUCCGUGCCAGCAGCCGCGGUAAUACGGAGGAUCCGAGCGUUAUCCGGAUUUAUUGGGUUUAAAGGGAGCGUAGGCGGAUGGUUAAGUCAGUUGUGAAAGUUUGCGGCUCAACCGUAAAAUUGCAGUUGAAACUGGCAGUCUUGAGUACAGUAGAGGUGGGCGGAAGUCGUGGUGUAGCGGUGAAAUGCUUAGAUAGCACGCAGAACUCCGAUUGCGAAGGCAGUUCACUGGACUGCAACUGACACUGAGGCUCGAAAGUGUGGGUAUCAAACAGGAUUAGAUACCCGGGUAGUC
This 460-nucleotide ribosomal RNA is filed under the name uncultured bacterium. RNAcentral describes it as "partial 16S ribosomal RNA". It matches the Rfam family "Bacterial small subunit ribosomal RNA", at positions 338 to 795 of the family's 1533-position model. The record is from RNAcentral.